AUGGCUGCUGCCGAGCCACCGACCGAUGGUAACCAGCCGCCCCACGAGACGGACACGAACACGACGUGCGCGGUGUGCCUGGCGGAGUACGCAGAUGGCGACGAGCUCCGGCAGCUGCCGGUGUGCCGGCACGCAUUCCACCGGCCAUGCGUCGAUGAAUGGCUGCGGCGGCGACCGAGCUGCCCGCUCUGCCGCACGUAUAGCGCCAAAAUGUGUCGUACGAGGUCGACAACUUUCCAUAUCAUCUUCUAG
Molecule: ribosomal RNA, 252 nt
Filed under: Triticum aestivum (bread wheat)
Lineage: Eukaryota; Viridiplantae; Streptophyta; Magnoliopsida; Poales; Poaceae
Description: partial small subunit ribosomal RNA
Source: RNAcentral